RNAcentral lists this long non-coding RNA (1925 nucleotides) under Arabidopsis thaliana (thale cress). Its description in RNAcentral is "potential natural antisense gene, locus overlaps with AT2G36790 (AT2G36792)". The record is from RNAcentral. Lineage: Eukaryota; Viridiplantae; Streptophyta; Magnoliopsida; Brassicales; Brassicaceae.
CAAUAUUUUACGAAUCAUUUCACCUCAAAUGUUUUUGGGACAUUGAAAAGGGAUAGAAAAAGGUUAUGUCGUCAAUCGUUCUUGGUUUAGGUUAUCUCGAACUUUAAACCAACUUUGUCAAAGUAAAGAUAACUCCAGAAUGUGGAAGUUACACUAGUUAGUUGUCUUCUGCUAAUUCGUACAAAUGUGUAACUAAGACUCUGUUUUAAAUUUCACAAAUACAGAAAACAAAAACUAUAGAAUGUUUAAAUUCCUUUGAAAAUAUGACAUAUACUCAAUUAUUGGACUGUGCUAGUUGCAUUAUGUCUUGUAGCAAGAAAGUGAUAUUAGAAUGAGAGGAGCCUCCUUCUUCCACAGCCUUGUGAGCUGAUUCUCCAAGCUCUUUGGCUCUUCUUCUUCUCUCUUUUGCAUCAUCACUCUCACCCAUUAGUUCUUCCACUGCCUUCUUCACUCCUUCUUUAUCCACCAACACUCCUAUCUUCUCUUCUUCUCCCCAUUUCAUGACCUCUUUAACCUCGGCACUUACACCGACUUUUAGUAUUUGUACGACCAGUUUCUCGUUGCAGAAUUGGUCUGCAAAUAGUGGCCAUGUAAGCAUUGGUAGACCAGCAGUUAUCCCCUCAAGAGUCGAGUUCCAUCCGCAGUGCGUUAAGAACCCUCCAACAGAAGGAUGUGAAAGGAUAAGCAUUUGAGGGGACCAUCCUUUGAUGAGAAGUCCUCUAUCUUGGAUUCUAUCUUCAAAGCCGCUUUCCGAGAACCACUCAACUAACUCUUUGUAUUUCUCCCAACCUCUUAUGACCCAGAUGAAAGGUCUUUGGGAUUCCUCUAGGCCUAGUCCCAGCUCAAGGAGCUGAGACAGAGGAAGAUUACAAAUACUUCCAAGGCAAACGUAGAGCACAGAUCCCGGUUCCUUAGAAUCGAGCCAUUCAAGGCACUCAUCUUGAUCAAUAUCUGAUUUGUUUCCCCUCUCUGCUUUGUCUACUCCUACCUUGUUGCACAAGGAAACAGGUCCAAUGGUCCAUGCUUUACCAGACCUUGCCUCCUUGAAGUCUUUGGCAUACGCAGGUUCGAGCUCUUGAAAUGAGUUGACUAUAACACCAUAAGAUGUCUUAUCCGCUUCUACCAUAUCCUCCAAGAUCUCUUUCCAGCCUGCAGGAACAUAUGUUUCCACCGGAACUUGAGGUCUUGUGAAUUCAACUCUAUCAGGAAAAUAAGGAACAAUGAAGUACUCCUUAUCAGACUUUAAAUUGUCCAAGAUCUCACGGUUCUUGCGCAGAACGUUAACACACAGAAGACAAAAGCAACCCAUGCCAUGGAAGAGGAUCUUUGGUAUUUUGAACUUCUUGGCGAUUUCGCUUGUAUACGACAAACACAUAUCAGAGAUUAGACAGCUUGGUCGCGGGCUCAUCUCUUCAAUAAGACCAGCUUCUUGAUAUGGAAACUUGACUUGCACUAGGUUGAUGGGCAAACCAGACUCAAUGGCACGGUUUAGGACAUUCUUGAACCUUGCUGCAUUGUGAGGCGUCGUGACAAUUGUUAUAAGCACACCUCGCUGAGCCAAGAGCCUUGCAAUAUCAACCAUGGGAAUCAUGUGGCCUUGAGCCAUGAAAGGGAAGAGAACAAAGUGAAGAGGAAAAGGUUCGUUGUUUUUUUCGAAAGCCAUGACGAUGCAACUUUAGUAAGAACCUCUCAAGUUUUGUUUCGUUUUCGGUUAAUAUCUGUGUAAGCUUAUAUAUAGAACAAGAUGCGUGGAGAGCAAGAAAGAAAGUGAACAGAAGACGUAAACAGAUUUUUACUUGCCAAACACCUCUUUUUAAGUCCACAGAUUGUGCUUGCGACAGACUUUAGUAAAUGCUUAAGUUUGUCCGUAUGUGACCAUCCUACAUCUUCUAGUGACCUUCCUUCUCAGAAACAUUUUAGAGACA